ACUCAAAUGAAUUGACGGGGACCCGCACAAGCAGCGGAGCAUGUUGCUCAAUUCGAUGCAACGCGAAAAACCUUACCUGGAUUGAACUACGCAGGAAAAGCCAUAGAGAUAUGGUGUCCUUCGGGGCCUGCGAUAGGUGGUGCAUGGCUGUCGUCAGCUCGUGUCGUGAGAUGUUGGGUUAAGUCCCGCAACGAGCGCAACCCUUGUCCUAUGUUGCCAGCGAGUUAUGUCGGGAACUCAUAGGAGACCGCCGUGGUCAACACGGAGGAAGGUGGGGAUGAUGUCAAGUCAUCAUGCCCCUUACGUCCAGGGCUGCAAACAUGCUACAAUGGCUGGUACAAAGGGCUGCAAAACCGCGAGGUUAAGCUAAUCCCAAAAAGCCAGUCUCAGUUCGGAUUGAAGUCUGCAACUCGACUUCAUGAAGCUGGAGUUGCUAGUAAUCCCAGAUCAGCAUUGCUGGGGUGAAUACGUUCCCGGGUCUUGUACACACCGCCCGU
Molecule: ribosomal RNA, 497 nt
Filed under: uncultured bacterium
Lineage: Bacteria
Description: partial 16S ribosomal RNA
Rfam family: Bacterial small subunit ribosomal RNA
Source: RNAcentral